RNAcentral lists this ribosomal RNA (441 nucleotides) under uncultured bacterium. Its description in RNAcentral is "partial 16S ribosomal RNA". It matches the Rfam family "Bacterial small subunit ribosomal RNA", at positions 338 to 795 of the family's 1533-position model. The record is from RNAcentral.
CCUACGGGAGGCAGCAGUGGGGAAUAUUGCACAAUGGGGGAAACCCUGAUGCAGCAACGCCGCGUGAGUGAAGAAGUAUUUCGGUAUGUAAAGCUCUAUCAGCAGGGAAGAAGAAAGACGGUACCUGACUAAGAAGCCCCGGGUAACUACGUGCCAGCAGCCGCGGUAAUACGUAGGGGGCAAGCGUUAUCCGGAUUUACUGGGUGGAAAGGGAGCGUAGACGGCUGUGCAAGUCUGAAGUGAAAGCCCGUGGCUCAACCGCGGAACUGCUUUGGAAACUGUAUAGCUAGAGUGCUGGAGAGGCAGGCGGAAUUCCUAGUGUAGCGGUGAAAUGCGUAGAUAUUAGGAGGAACACCAGAGGCGAAGGCGACUCACUGGACUGUAACUGACGCUGAGGCUCGAAAGCGUGGGGAGCAAACAGGAUUAGAUACCCCGGUAGUC